Molecule: small nuclear RNA, 190 nt
Organism: Phytophthora sojae
Lineage: Eukaryota; Oomycota; Peronosporomycetes; Peronosporales; Peronosporaceae
Rfam family: U2 spliceosomal RNA
About the family: U2 is a small nuclear RNA (snRNA) component of the spliceosome (involved in pre-mRNA splicing). Complementary binding between U2 snRNA (in an area lying towards the 5' end but 3' to hairpin I) and the branchpoint sequence (BPS) of the intron results the bulging out of an unpaired adenosine, on the BPS, which initiates a nucleophilic attack at the intronic 5' splice site, thus starting the first of two transesterification reactions that mediate splicing.
Source: Rfam
GGACCUUCUCGGCCUUUUGGCUAAGAUCAAGUGUAGUAUCUGUUCUAAUCAGCGUGAAAACUGGUUUCCCUGCUUUUGGUGGGGUCUUGUUCACAUUCAUUUUUGCAAUUCCCAUAAGUACUUAGCUUGCUAGGUGUUUACGGGACGGGCACGCUCCACGAGCACUUCACGGCGGUGAACUCGCCCCGCA